RNAcentral lists this transfer RNA (86 nucleotides) under Patescibacteria group bacterium. Its description in RNAcentral is "tRNA-Ser". It matches the Rfam family "tRNA". Rfam says of the family: Transfer RNA (tRNA) molecules are approximately 80 nucleotides in length. Their secondary structure includes four short double-helical elements and three loops (D, anti-codon, and T loops). The record is from RNAcentral. RNAcentral also lists the same sequence under 1 other name.
GGAGAGUUCGCAUAGUGGUCUAGUGCGCGCGCUUGGAAAGCGCGUAUACCCAAAAGGUAUCAAGGGUUCGAAUCCCUUACUCUCCG